This 512-nucleotide small RNA is filed under the name Pongo abelii (Sumatran orangutan). Its description in RNAcentral is "retained intron". The record is from RNAcentral. Lineage: Eukaryota; Metazoa; Chordata; Mammalia; Primates; Hominidae.
AAAAAAAAAGGUACCAGGAGUCAUAUUCUAGGUCCCCCACUCUGGACCCAGCUCUGAGACCCUGCCUCUCUGGCCAGGGCUGUGGUGUCAGUGCUGGGCUCCUGGCUGCAGGACCACCCUCAGGAUUUCCGAGACCCCCCUGCCCACUCGGACCUGGGCAGUGUCCGAACCUUUCUGGGCUGGGCGGCCCCAGGGGGUGCUGAGGCUCAAAAAGCAGAGAAGCUUCUGGAAGAGUUUUUGGAGGAGGCUGAGCGAGAGCAGGAAGAGGAGCUGCCUCAGUUGUUUCUGGCCAGGUGUUGUGGCACAUGCCUAUAGUCACAGCUGCUUAGGAUGCUGAGGUGGGAGGAUCUCUUGACUCCGGGAAAUCAAGGCUGCCAUGAGCUGUGAGCAUGCCCCUGCACUCCAGGUGAUAGAGCUGGGGGAAGGAGGAAUAGUUGUUUCUUCAAAUUGAAAUCCAAAGAUCUACUCAAGGACCUCCCAGGGUUGCCCAAACUUCUGACCCAGACUCUUCA